Long non-coding RNA from Gymnodraco acuticeps, 882 nucleotides. RefSeq lists it as uncharacterized. The record is from RefSeq and is a predicted model, not a curated record. NCBI's taxonomy places the organism in Eukaryota, Metazoa, Chordata, Actinopteri, Perciformes, Bathydraconidae. The transcript is spliced from 5 exons.
UCUCUGAGCUUUCUCUGAUUACUAAUAAUAGUAAUAGUAUUAAUAAUUGUAAAUGGCCAUUGGUCACACCACCAGUUUGUUUUACUGUAAACUUGGAGGAAGUUAGUAAUUAUGAUGCACACUAAUUGAGUUUGAUUCCUGGAUUCCUACACUGUGUGCGUGUGUUUAUGUGUAUAUAAUCUCACCUUCUUCAUGAAAUAGGGCAUACCAAGACAACGGGCCUCCAACAACUGUGGGGUGUUUGUGCUCAUGUAUGCCCUCUACUUUGUGAUGGAGUCAGCUUUUGAUUUCAGUGAGUUGGACAUGGAGCAUUUAAGGAGAUGGUGGUGCAUGCUACUCAUUGACAACUUCCCCGUGACAAAAAGGACCCACUGGCAAAGACGGCUGCAGAAAUUCUUGUCAGCUCUGAAGAGGAGGAUGGAGAGAAGCACCCCUUUAUAAGUAGUGCUAUGGCGGCAUCUCAGUGGUGCUCUGCAAAGAAUAUGGGAGAUAAAGUCAUCCUGCCACAAAUUCUUUCCAUGGCCCCACUGGACAGAGAAGCAGCUCUCCAUAACCUUGGUGAAGCCAGCAACCUGCGGGACGAAGACAGCUGGGAAGACAGGAUGGACCCAUUUAUGUUCAGGUUCAAAUUUGAGUCUGACUAUUUAAUGUUUUUUGAGCAGUGCAUUGACAAAGAAAACCUUAAGGUUCAUGCCUGUUUUGAAGAGCGCGGUUGAAUGUUUGCAUCAGCAAAGCCUUUCACUGUUGUAUAGAUUUUUUUUUUGUAUACUUGGUUUGGUUUUUAUAUUUACUGUAUUUGCUUUUUCGGUUCUGUUAUCUUAAUGAUUGUUCUGUUAUAUGAUAAAUGUUGUAAAUAAUAAAUGCUUUUUCUAUCAUUCUAUG